Molecule: long non-coding RNA, 1030 nt
Filed under: Papio anubis (olive baboon)
Lineage: Eukaryota; Metazoa; Chordata; Mammalia; Primates; Cercopithecidae
Description: lncRNA (ENSPANG00000049437.1)
Source: RNAcentral
UAGGCCCCAUUCUUACACUGGGGAUCAGAUUUCAACAUGAAGUUUGGAGGUGGUCAAACAAACCAAAUGAUAACAGAAAUACUCUGUCAAAGUCAGAGUUGACAAAAAUAAAAUGGACUAUAUUGUGAUUAGUUGUUGUUUGGGUACUAAGCUGGAGAAAAUUUCAGUUAAUUAACAGGUUGUAGUGUUUUGUGGCUUUGUUUCUUUUCUAUUCAUUACAACUCGUUUACCUGGUAGUUUUUGACUGAUAUGCUCAACUUGACUAAUUAUUUUUGAAACUGUGAAGAUGCAUCACAGUCAAUAUAAAUAUGUUCACUAUAAUGUAAGUCCUCUUUUCAUAGUAAAAUUGAUGUAAGAUGGCAUAGUCAUUCUUCAUUCAGUACAGUUUGCUUGAAGAUAUCUCUAUUAACAAGAGCAUUUUACCUUCGCCUAGAUUUCAGAUGCUUUGGUAAUUUGUACUGUGCUUAAAUAAAGCACAUCCUGGCAUGAAAAUGAAUGAGUGCCUCCUGGCACUUAGUGCGUGUAUUCCUCAGAGUUUAUGAUAAUUAGGAUGCUUGUUUAAUUGCUGUCCCUUUAUUUCCACUGGGUGGUGGGAGCUAAAGAGCAGCUUUCAAACCAUGUGUGUUACAUACAUAGGUAAUUUAUAAACUCAUUUUGCUGUUGUGAGCACAGGAAAAAAAAUCCUGAAUGUCAAUAAGCCAAUGUUGUAAUUAUUUUAUCCCCACCAUGACUGCUGAUGGUACCUUUGUUUUCGCUUCUUGGACAGGAAGGAUGGGCCUUUGAGUUACUACCCGUAAGGAUUGAGUCAUUUGAGCCAUGGUCAUUGAGCACUGGUCUGAAUUUGUUGCUCAAUUGAAUGCUAAAGGAUUAUAGAGUAUCUUCCCAGUAUGAAUAUUCUGAUGUGAACUCCAGCUGCAGUCUUUUCCACUUUGACUUUAGGAUUGGUAUACUCUCAAUAGGGGACCUCUAAUGUUGACUGAGAAAUAAGUGAUUAUUAAAGACAUCUCUUCAUUCUGUACAUCAGAUGUUU